RNAcentral lists this ribosomal RNA (465 nucleotides) under uncultured bacterium. Its description in RNAcentral is "partial 16S ribosomal RNA". It matches the Rfam family "Bacterial small subunit ribosomal RNA", at positions 28 to 507 of the family's 1533-position model. The record is from RNAcentral.
GACGAACGCUGGCGGCGUGCUUAACACAUGCAAGUCGAACGGAAAGGCCCUGCUUGCAGGGUACUCGAGUGGCGAACGGGUGAGUAACACGUGGGUGAUCUGCCCUGCACUUCGGGAUAAGCCUGGGAAACUGGGUCUAAUACCGGAUAGGAGCCAUUUUUAGUGUGAUGGUUGGAAAGUUUUUUCGGUGUAGGAUGAGCUCGCGGCCUAUCAGCUUGUUGGUGGGGUAAUGGCCUACCAAGGCGGCGACGGGUAGCCGGCCUGAGAGGGUGGACGGCCACAUUGGGACUGAGAUACGGCCCAGACUCCUACGGGAGGCAGCAGUGGGAAAUAUUGCACAAUGGGCGCAAGCCUGAUGCAGCGACGCCGCGUGGGGGAUGACGGCCUUCGGGUUGUAAACUCCUUUCGCUAGGGACGAAGCUUUUUGUGACGGUACCUAGAGAAGAAGCACCGGCUAACUACGUG